This 497-nucleotide ribosomal RNA is filed under the name uncultured bacterium. Its description in RNAcentral is "partial 16S ribosomal RNA". It matches the Rfam family "Bacterial small subunit ribosomal RNA", at positions 28 to 507 of the family's 1533-position model. The record is from RNAcentral.
GAUGAACGCUGGCGGCGUGCCUAAUACAUGCAAGUCGAGCGAACGGACGAGAAGCUUGCUUCUCUGAUGUUAGCGGCGGACGGGUGAGUAACACGUGGAUAACCUACCUAUAAGACUGGGAUAACUUCGGGAAACCGGAGCUAAUACCGUAUAAUAUUUUGAACCGCAUGGUUCAAAAGUGAAAGACGGUCUUGCUGUCACUUAUAGAUGGAUCCGCGCUGCAUUAGCUAGUUGGUAAGGUAACGGCUUACCAAGGCAACGAUGCAUAGCCGACCUGGGAGGGGGGUAGGCCGCCUGAGAACGGAGACGGGCACAAGACGACUGAGAGAGGGACAAGGAGGAAAUGGGAGGAAGGGGGGGAAAACAUGGCAGAAAGGGCGGGAGGGAGAAGCAAAGGUGUCGGGAGGGGAAAGAUGUUUUAUGGGGGAAAAACAUAUGUGUAAAGAGAUGAACACUUCGUGACGGUACAUAAAAAAAAAGCAACGGCAAACUACGUG